Molecule: ribosomal RNA, 422 nt
Filed under: uncultured bacterium
Lineage: Bacteria
Description: bacterial SSU rRNA
Rfam family: Bacterial small subunit ribosomal RNA
Source: RNAcentral
GGAAUAUUGGACAAUGGGCGCAAGCCUGAUCCAGCAAUGCCGCGUGUGUGAAGAAGGCCUGCGGGUUGUAAAGCACUUUCAGUAGAGAAGAAACGCUUACGGUUAAUACCCGUUAGUCUGGACGUAACGUACAGAAGAAGCACCGGAUAACUCCGUGCCAGCAGCCGCGGUAAUACGGAGGGUGCGAGCGUUAAUCGGAAUUACUGGGCGUAAAGCGCGCGUAGGCGGUUUUGUAAGUCGGAUGUGAAAGCCCAGGGCUUAACCUUGGAACUGCAUUCGAUACUGCUUGACUAGAGUAUGGUAGAGGGAAGUGGAAUUUCCGGUGUAGCGGUGAAAUGCGUAGAUAUCGGAAGGAACACCAGUGGCGAAGGCGACUUCCUGGGCCAAUACUGACGCUGAGGUGCGAAAGCGUGGGGAGCAAA